RNAcentral lists this ribosomal RNA (505 nucleotides) under uncultured bacterium. RNAcentral describes it as "partial 16S ribosomal RNA". It matches the Rfam family "Bacterial small subunit ribosomal RNA", at positions 28 to 507 of the family's 1533-position model. The record is from RNAcentral.
GACGAACGCUGGCGGCGUGCCUAAUACAUGCAAGUAGGACGCACAGUUUAUACCGUAGCUUGCUACACCAUAGACUGUGAGUUGCGAACGGGUGAGUAACGCGUAGGUAACCUGCCUGGUAGCGGGGGAUAACUAUUGGAAACGAUAGCUAAUACCGCAUAAUAUUAAUUAUUGCAUGAUAAUUAAUUGAAAGGUGCAAUUGCACCACUACCAGAUGGACCUGCGUUGUAUUAGCUAGUAGGUGAGGUAACGGCUCACCUAGGCGACGAUACAUAGCCGACCUGAGAGGGUGAUCGGCCACACUGGGACUGAGACACGGCCCAGACUCCUACGGGAGGCAGCAGUAGGGAAUCUUCGGCAAUGGACGAAAGUCUGACCGAGCAACGCCGCGUGAGUGAAGAAGGUUUUCGGAUCGUAAAGCUCUGUUGUAAGAGAAGAACGGGUGUGAGAGUGGAAAGUUCACACUGUGACGGUAUCUUACCAGAAAGGGACGGCUAACUACGUG